RNAcentral lists this ribosomal RNA (459 nucleotides) under uncultured bacterium. Its description in RNAcentral is "partial 16S ribosomal RNA". It matches the Rfam family "Bacterial small subunit ribosomal RNA", at positions 338 to 795 of the family's 1533-position model. The record is from RNAcentral.
CCUACGGGUGGCUGCAGUGAGGAAUAUUGGUCAAUGGGCGCGAGCCUGAACCAGCCAAGUAGCGUGCGGGAUGACGGUCCUAUGGAUUGUAAACCUCUUUUAUCGGGGAGCAACAGACCCUACGCGUGGCGUUCCGAGAGUACCCGAAGAAAAAGCAUCGGCUAACUCCGUGCCAGCAGCCGCGGUAAUACGGAAGGCCCGAGCGUUAUCCGGAUUUAUUGGGCUUAAAGGGAGCGUAGGCGGGCGUUCAAGUCAGCUGGAAAAUCGCGCGGCUCAACCGCGCCCCGCAGGUGAAACUGGACGCCUUGAGUUCACAACAGGCAGGCGGAAUUCGUGGUGUAGCGGUGAAAUGCAUAGAUAUCACGAGGAACCCCGAUUGCGAAGGCAGCCUGCCGGGGCGCGACUGACGCUGAGGCUCGAAGGUGCGGGUAUCAAACAGGAUUAGAUACCCCUGUAGUC